This 493-nucleotide ribosomal RNA is filed under the name uncultured bacterium. RNAcentral's name for it is "partial 16S ribosomal RNA". It matches the Rfam family "Bacterial small subunit ribosomal RNA", at positions 29 to 523 of the family's 1533-position model. The record is from RNAcentral.
AUUGAACGCUGGCGGCAUGCUUUACACAUGCAAGUCGAAUGGUAACAGGUUAAGCUGACGAGUGGCGAACGGGUGAGUAAUGCAUCGGAACGUGCCCGGUCGUGGGGGAUAACGCAGCGAAAGCUGCGCUAAUACCGCAUACGAUCUGAGGAUGAAAGCGGGGGACCGUAAGGCCUCGCGCGAUCGGAGCGGCCGAUGUCAGAUUAGGUAGUUGGUGGGGUAAAGGCUCACCAAGCCAACGAUCUGUAGCUGGUCUGAGAGGACGACCAGCCACACUGGGACUGAGACACGGCCCAGACUCCUACGGGAGGCAGCAGUGGGGAAUUUUGGACAAUGGGCGAAAGCCUGACCCAGCAAUGCCGCGUGCAGGAAGAAGGCCUUCGGGUUGUAAACUGCUUUUGUACGGAGCGAAAAGGUCUCCUCUAAUACAGGGGGCUCAUGACGGUACCGUAAGAAUAAGCACCGGCUAACUACGUGCCAGCCGCCGCGGUAA